This 254-nucleotide ribosomal RNA is filed under the name uncultured bacterium. Its description in RNAcentral is "partial 16S ribosomal RNA". It matches the Rfam family "Bacterial small subunit ribosomal RNA", at positions 793 to 1055 of the family's 1533-position model. The record is from RNAcentral.
GUCCACGCCGUAAACGAUGGAUACUAGCUGUUCGGAGCAAUCUGAGUGGCUAAGCGAAAGUGAUAAGUAUCCCACCUGGGGAGUACGCACGCAAGUGUGAAACUCAAAGGAAUUGACGGGGCCCGGCACAAGCGGUGGAGCAUGUGGUUUAAUUCGAUGAUACGCGAGGAACCUUACCAGGGCUUAAAUGUAGAUUGACAGGACUGGAAACAGUUUUCUUUCGGACAAUUUACAAGGUGCUGCAUGGUUGUCGU